AAUUCUACCCUUCUCCAUAGAUCUGACAGAUAAAUUAUUCUAUGGUCACCUGAAUAAUUUAUUUAAUUGUUGCUUCCCCAGGAUGAUCCCCCUGGAGAUGGAGACCUGCCAUUUCAGCUCAGUUCUCAGUCUUCCACACCACAUUCUCAGCUUACGGUGGAUUUACCAGUACAUAUACUUCAGGAGCCGCCCGCUUCCACGGAGGAUGACGCCGCUUCUGAAAAUUCACAGUUCACCGGCAGCACCAUCAACCUGCAGGACCUGGAAUGAGGCUGUUCCUGCUGCUUGGCGGGGAGGAUGCAAAGAGUGCAAUCAUGCUAUGGAAAGUGGAAAAGACGUUUCCAGAGCUUAAUUUAAUUUAAUUUUUUUUAAUGUGAAAAAAUGGGAGCCAACGGAACUCGUUUCGUUCUUCCCCGCGGAGAGUUUCUUUAAAGGACUCCUUGACUUAUCGAUGAAGACUGUUUGCCUCCCGCUGGGACUGUUAGGAAAAGGCCUCCGCGGGGGCUGCCUGCAGGAAGCUGCCUUGCCGGAGAGAGCGCCUGCGCAAAAGCGAGCACUUCGGGCCGACCCCCCUUCCCCCGCCUGGCGCCCCCAGCCAGUCACCUGCCGCCUGAACGCCGGAGAGCCCCAGGGAAGAAGGCGGGAGACGUUCUGGAGCGAGAGCAGGCAAAUGGCGGGCCGUGUGGGCCAACCCCCUACUGGGAGGAGGAAGCAGGCUGAGGGAGGUUUGGGCCUUGCUUGGGAAUUGUAAGGCUAGUGCCCAGGCAGGAUUUGAACCUGUGUCUUCCCGAUUCCAAGUCCAGCCUACUCUCCACUAGGCUGCACGCCUGUGUUUUGCUGUUGAUAGAGACAGCCGUGCAGUCCUACAGAAGGGAGUGGGUGAGCCCAGAUGUUGCAGCAUUACGAAUCAGAGGGCAGGCUCUGGAGGGCUGCGUGGAGGGGGGGGAGGUGGUGAUGGGCCCGCUCCGAGGCCUCAGGAGAUGGGUGCUUCGGUGGGCUGAGAGGAGGAAGGGAGAGUGUGCUUGUGGCCAUCCUGGUUCCGUGCCCCACACAAAACUCGGGCCAUACCGUUAACCUUUUAAAAACGUACGUUCUGCAUUUGCGUAUUUACAUGUAUCGGUCCCUCGACGACGGUUUCCAAAGUGUGUACUGAAUGCCUAUAAAAUGAUGUCCGGGACUGGCGGCGGCUCGUGUACGUUUGCUCGCGGAGAUGCGCUCUGUGUGAGCUGCAUGAACAGGUCUUUUAGCGUCUGCCCCCUUGCACAUAUUUAUUGUUCUUUAUAGUUCUGGAGUUCACACAGGGUCGUUCAGCAAUGCUUUUUUUUCUUGUGCCUUUGGAAGUCUGCGCGUGUGUAAAGAUGCCCUUUUGUUUCCGGGACCCCACAGGAAUACAGAGGCUCCUGCCCUGCAUUUCUUGACUUGUUAGACUUUUGCUCCAAGGAGCAAUUCCAGCAAACCACUGCGACCCCGUCCGGCCUGCCCUCGGCGCUCCCCGGGGCCCCUCGGAGCCAGCUGGAGGGGGAGGGGGAGAGGUGGCUGGCCCCUGGGUGCCGAGUCACUCUUCUACAUAGAACUGCAUGUCACCUCCCCGGCCGCCGGCCCACUCGGCCAGGCCCCGCCCCCUCCCCUCCUGGAGCCCCUCCCCCCGGGAGGUGUGUGGCUGUGACGCACAUCCCACGUGUGUCCCUAACCCAGGAGCACUCGGGCUUCUCUGGGCUUUGAGGUUCAUUGCUGGCAAUGGACGAGAUCCCGAAUGCAGAUGAAUUAAUAAAGCUUUUUUUAUGGUCUUA
Gracilinanus agilis (Agile Gracile Mouse Opossum) is the source of this 1790-nucleotide long non-coding RNA. RefSeq lists it as uncharacterized. The record is from RefSeq and is a predicted model, not a curated record. NCBI's taxonomy places the organism in Eukaryota, Metazoa, Chordata, Mammalia, Didelphimorphia, Didelphidae. The transcript has 2 exons.